CUGCUCCUUUUCUGUUGCUUGCUUGAUCAUUGGGACUUUAAAAAAUUGAUGCAUGUCUUUUUAAUUAAUUGGGUGAUGUUUUUCUAAAAUUAAAAUUUUCUUCUUCCUAUAGCCCUGCCAUAGGACAGGCUGAGGCUGAGUCUCAGUGUUGCCCUGUUCAGUCUGAGCAGCAGAAUUUCAGCAUUUGCUACUUACUGGUAGAGAAGAAAAAUCCCACAGCCCUGCCAGUACAGGUUAGUUUAAUCUAAUGGCGUAGAUACAGUGGAAAUGGUUUUCCUUAUCUCUUUAGAGAGCUGCCUUUCUGGUGAGUACUGCUUUAUAAUUUUCAUAUCAUGGUUUUAUUUUUUUAGUCUAGC
Molecule: long non-coding RNA, 356 nt
Filed under: Cricetulus griseus (Chinese hamster)
Lineage: Eukaryota; Metazoa; Chordata; Mammalia; Rodentia; Cricetidae
Description: lncRNA (ENSCGRG00015042001.1)
Source: RNAcentral